AGAAAGAUAAGCUAAGCAAGCUAACGGGCUCAUACCCCGCAUAUGAAGGUUACAUAUUACUCCUUCUCUUUCUA
This 74-nucleotide transfer RNA is filed under the name Ctenolepisma villosum. Its description in RNAcentral is "Ctenolepisma villosa tRNA-Met". The record is from RNAcentral. Lineage: Eukaryota; Metazoa; Arthropoda; Insecta; Zygentoma; Lepismatidae.